RNAcentral lists this ribosomal RNA (345 nucleotides) under Triticum aestivum (bread wheat). Its description in RNAcentral is "partial small subunit ribosomal RNA". The record is from RNAcentral. Lineage: Eukaryota; Viridiplantae; Streptophyta; Magnoliopsida; Poales; Poaceae.
AUGGAUUUCGGCCUGUUUUUAAUGCAGUUCGUCCAAUGUUUUGUUGCAGCUUCCUCGGUGGCCCAGACGACUCAUGGGUUUAUCCUUUUUCUCUUCCUGCUGAUGUUCACCUUGAUCAUCGCUUGGUGGGUGCUCCGUCUGUUGUUAAUCGUUCCAAGGGUGUGCCUUUGCGUGUGGCCGGUGCUUUCGGUCGGCCUACUCCUCUUGAUGAGUUUAGGUUCUGAAACAUGCAUCUGCCACUGCCUUUUUUCUUUUCUUUUUUUGUUUGUGUUGGAUAUGGUUCUAAUUUGUAUAUGUGGCUGUUUUUUGAGUGAUGCCUACUCCUGUCAUGCAAUACUUUCGUAA